RNAcentral lists this long non-coding RNA (743 nucleotides) under Malus domestica (apple). RNAcentral's name for it is "long non-coding RNA (MDOM_LNC015962)". Lineage: Eukaryota; Viridiplantae; Streptophyta; Magnoliopsida; Rosales; Rosaceae. The record is from RNAcentral.
ACGUAAGGUAUUAAAAUGAAAUUUUUUGAAAAUGUUGUAUGAGAUUGCAAUAAACCUCAAACAUAAGGUGGUAAAAUAUAAUUUACCGUAGAUGCAAUCAUGCAAUGACGAUUUUGUUUUGCAUUUUGUAAAGGCCGAAUUAAUGUACUUUAAUUUUCACUUUCGUUCUUUUAAUUUUACUUUUGGUUAAUAUUUUUCAUCCGUAUAAUUUUGUGAUCUUUUCACCUCAGUCCAACUUGUCAACUAACUUUAUGGUAUGUUUACAAACUCGUAAUCAUAAUCAAAACAUGGAAUUAGAUUUCAAUUACGGGAUGAAAAAUUUUAUUUGAACUCAUAUAACUUAUUUUUACACUUAACUUACUCUCUUCACCUAUAUUACUCUUAAUUAAACAAUCAAUAUCUCUUCAAACCCAAAUUUACCACCUAAACUACCCGCAUAAUCUAAUUCAAUAUAUAAAUUUUUUCUUAACCCAUUUAGAAAAAAAAAAAAAAAAAAAAGAACGCAUUAACCCGUUGGUUGUAAAUGGAAAAGUGGACAUAAUUAUAGCCUAUUUGAGUUGCAGCAUUUUGUGAUAACAACGCUUGUAGCAUGCAAAGCUCCAUGGGAAAUUCUUCUGAAAUUAAGUUAUUAUUCAACAUAAAAAGGAAAAGAUUUGGAAAACAGCAUUGUUGCCACCACCAUCUCAUAUGACCACUUUAUCAUGGUAAUAAUCACCAUGUUAAAUGAUUAAAAUUUGAAAAAC